UGAACUUGGACGAGCAGGUUCUCUCCCUCCCUUAUUUUUUCCACUUCCCUCUCUCUGUCAUAAUCCUACUUUACCUCUUCACUUUCCUUAUCCCACACUGUCUCUCUCUCUCUCUGCCCGAGCCUCCCGUUAAGCUACGGCAUCAUCCCCCAGUCAAUUUCUACCCUUCAUUUAUUUUUUCCCUUUCACCGUUCACUACCACCCUCCCCCUCUUCUCGCUAGUGUUUUGUUUUACACGCCCGCCCCAGCGCGCGGUGUAUGUGCAGGAGGUUUAUGGUAAUUGCGGUCUCCCGACUGGCCUUCUGGGUAGAGUCUGCGCGAUUGAGAGAGUCGCUCGCGGUACAGCAACCCACUCCGCUCCGCGCGCCCUGUUCGGCGUCUUCAGCAACUCCGCACGAAAGGAGCUACCAGGAGCUUUCAGAGAAAAACUACGGAAAGAUAGACAUUCCCGACCUUUUUCACAAUAUCGCCGGAGAUAAAUAGUAUAUUUUCGGAAUAGACUGGGAUUGACGAGAUUGGAAGUAAGAGCUUUGAAACGGCAUGCUCUGAUAAAACCCAACAUGGCGCUGAGAGAUACGACCGAGCUGAAUGCAUUUCAGGAGUCCGCGGACCUCGCCACCUGUAUCCUUGCGCACUGCUAAACUGUACGUUACCAGCCGCUGGGACGUUCUAUAAAGGAUGAUUGGAAACCUUAUUCUAGGGAUUUGUCACACUAAGUCGAUGUUGACGGCAUUUUCUCUCGUCUGGAAACAUAUUGACAUAUUACUGUGAAAAAGUAUUGUGCGAGUGUAAAGGAAAAACUAUAACACAUUGUUUCAUUGACUGACAAGUAAAUAACCCUUUAGCCACACUUCUGCUUAUUUAUAUCCAACGGUUUGAAUAUUCGCUGGCCCGGGAUGUCUAUGCUUUUAUAACGGAAUCGUAACCUCCACGCACGAAUAUUUGCUCAGAGCCGUGAACAACUUGGAAAAACGGGAAAAGGAAAGUCGGAAAUAGAGGAUAUUGACCAGAUGCACAAUUGAGAGCAUCCUGUCGGGCUGUAUCACCGCCUGGUACAGCAACUGCACCGCCCGCUACCACAGGGCUCUCCAGAGAGUGCUGCUGUCCUGGAGGGCAAACUAUCUGCCCUCCAGGACACCUACAGCACCCGAUGUCACAGGAAGACCAAAAAGAUAAUUAAGGACAACAACCACCCGAGCCACUGCCUGUUCACCCCGCUAUCAUCCAGAAGGAAAGAGCGCUGGUCGGUUGGAGGUGUUUUAAGACGGACUGUCCCAUGAGGGGAUGACAUGCUCUCCGCUACACAGAUGUACGGAACGGUUCCCCCAUGGAUGAGUCACGAGAGGGCCCAAAUGUAUGGGAUGGUCAUGGAGGAGAGGAGAGUACCUGUUAGUGAUGCGGGGACCCAGAGAAACCUGGAUUUAAGAGAAGGCAACCACAUCACACAAAGCAUGGUG
This 1457-nucleotide long non-coding RNA is filed under the name Salmo salar (Atlantic salmon). Its description in RNAcentral is "lncRNA (ENSSSAG00000102516.1)". Lineage: Eukaryota; Metazoa; Chordata; Actinopteri; Salmoniformes; Salmonidae. The record is from RNAcentral.